CCAACCAGUGGUGAUGGCUGGUGGGGGAUGAGUCAUGGACAGUGGACAGUGGACAGUAUGUGUCUGGAACCCUGAGGUGCAA
This is a small nucleolar RNA of Ursus americanus (American black bear), 82 nucleotides long. Lineage: Eukaryota; Metazoa; Chordata; Mammalia; Carnivora; Ursidae. The record is from Ensembl.